This 434-nucleotide ribosomal RNA is filed under the name uncultured bacterium. RNAcentral describes it as "partial 16S ribosomal RNA". It matches the Rfam family "Bacterial small subunit ribosomal RNA", at positions 29 to 506 of the family's 1533-position model. The record is from RNAcentral.
AACGAACGCUGGCGGCAUGUCUAACACAUGCAAGUCGAACGAUUGCCUUCGGGUGAUAGUGGCGCACGGGUGCGUAACGCGUGGGAAUCUGCCCUUAGGUUCGGAAUAACAGCUGGAAACGGCUGCUAAUACCGGAUGAUAUCGCGAGAUCAAAGAUUUAUCGCCUGAGGAUGAGCCCGCGUUGGAUUAGGUAGUUGGUGGGGUAAAGGCCUACCAAGCCGACGAUCCAUAGCUGGUCUGAGAGGAUGAUCAGCCACACUGGGACUGAGACACGGCCCAGACUCCUACGGGAGGCAGCAGUGGGGAAUAUUGGACAAUGGGCGCAAGCCUGAUCCAGCAAUGCCGCGUGAGUGAUGAAGGCCCUAGGGUUGUAAAGCUCUUUUACCCGGGAAGAUAAUGACUGUACCGGGAGAAUAAGCCCCGGCUAACUCCGU